UACGUAGGGUGCGAGCGUUAAUCGGAAUUACUGGGCGUAAAGCGCGCGUAGGUGGCAAGUUAAGUCGGAUGUGAAAGCCCUGGGCUCAACCUAGGAAUUGCAUUCGAUACUGGCUAGCUCGAGUUUGGUAGAGGAGAGUGGAAUUCCCGGUGUAGCGGUGAAAUGCGUAGAUAUCGGGAGGAACAUCAGUGGCGAAGGCGGCUCUCUGGACCAAAACUGACACUGAGGCGCGACAGCGUGGGGAUCAAACAGG
Molecule: ribosomal RNA, 253 nt
Filed under: uncultured bacterium
Lineage: Bacteria
Description: partial 16S ribosomal RNA
Rfam family: Bacterial small subunit ribosomal RNA
Source: RNAcentral